UAAGCGGAGGAAAAGAAACUAACAAGGAUUCCCCUAGUAACGGCGAGUGAAGCGGGAAGAGCUCAAAUUUGUAAUCUGGUACUUUCAGUGCCCGAGUUGUAAUCUCGAGAAGUGUUUUCCGCGCCGGACCGCAUACAAGUCUGUUGGAAUACAGCGUCAUAGUGGUGAGAACCCCGUAACUGAUGCGGACGCCCGGUGCUUUGUGAUACACUUUCGAAGAGUCGAGUUGUUUGGGAAUGCAGCUCAAAUUGGGUGGUAAAUUCCAUCUAAAGCUAAAUAUUGGCGAGAGACCGAUAGCGAACAAGUACCGUGAGGGAAAGAUGAAAAGCACUUUGGAAAGAGAGUUAACAGUACGUGAAAUUGUUGGAAGGGAAACGCUUGAAGUCAGACUUGCUAUUUGGAGUUCAGCCGCAAGGUGUAUUCUUCAAUUUGCAGGCCAGCAUCAGUUUUUGGGGGUGGAAAAGGGUAUUGAGAAGGUAGCAGUUUCGGCUGUGUUAUAGCUCUUUACUGGAUUCAUCCUUGGGGACUGAGGAAUGCAGCGCGCUUUUUGCAAGGCUCUCGGGCUUUUCGCGCUUAGGAUGCUGGUAGAAUGGCUUUAAACGACCCGUC
Molecule: ribosomal RNA, 609 nt
Filed under: Hamamotoa singularis
Lineage: Eukaryota; Fungi; Basidiomycota; Microbotryomycetes; Chrysozymaceae
Description: eukaryotic LSU rRNA
Rfam family: Eukaryotic large subunit ribosomal RNA
Source: RNAcentral